Macaca mulatta (Rhesus monkey) is the source of this 2689-nucleotide non-coding RNA. Lineage: Eukaryota; Metazoa; Chordata; Mammalia; Primates; Cercopithecidae. The record is from RefSeq and is a predicted model, not a curated record.
AGGGGAACGGCGACGCUCCCUGGAGAGCGUGUGCAGGCUCACCGCUUGCUCUCUGGGGUCACAAGCCCUGGCCAUGCUCCCGGGCUUCAUCUCUCCAUGGGGUCCCUGUCCUGACUCCCCAGUCUGGACGCCUAGAGACAGAGCUACACGCCUUCUCUGUAGGGUCAGAGAGGUUAAAAUCAGCUUGUCAAGUCUCAUGAAAAACCUGGUGAAGUUUUGUUGGAAUUGUAUUAUAAUGGAUGAUCAAUUUGGAGAGAUUUGACAGCUCCGGAAUAUGAAGAAUUUCUGGCUACAAAUAUGAUCCUGAAUUCCAGUGGAAUGGCUGAUACCAACCAGCAUGAAGAACCCCCCAGAGGAGCCCCCCCAACAUGAAGACCCCUGCAGAGAAGCCCAGUCAGGAUGAGAAUGAGGUUUCUUUGGCUCCUUGUCUCAUGACUCCACCCUAUGCUCUUUGACCAGUCAAGGAUCCCCACACCUCGGCCCACUAUUCAUCCAAACCCCUGAAAAUCCCUACUUCCAAACUCCUUGGGGAGAUGGAAUUGAGGUUUCCUUCUGUCUCCUCAUUUGGUUGCUUUACCAUGAAACCUCUUUCUCAGCUGCAACUGGGUAACUUGGUGUAUUGCCUUGAUGCGCAUCGGGAAACAAACUUGGUCUUGUUACAUGGGUUCUCCUUGAGUAAAACCAAGGACAGAGCAGACAGGGAAGCAUGGCUUAGUGAAGGAAAUUUAUCAGGGGCCCGAACUGAUUCAAAUCAGGGAUUAGACUAUCUGAAGAAAUAGAUUAACCGAGUAGUUUUUGAAGGGUCCUCCUGAAGCAGCUACGUUGUCUGGCGUAAAUACACAGGGUUCAUUCCCUCAGUCCUCUCAUGCCAGGAAAAUUUAGGACGAGAACACACAUGAGGAGUUUAGGAGUGGAGGUUUAAUAGGCAGAAGAAAAGAGAAAGAAAAACAGCUCCCUCUCUACAGAGAGAGGGGUCUUCCAAGCAGAAAAGACCUGCUGGCAGCGGAUGCACCAGAUUUUAUAGUCCAGCUUGAGGAGGCAGUGUCUGAUGUAUGUAGGGCUCACAGAUUGUUUCCAUCAGGUGUGACAUUUACAUGGGGGUGGGGGCGGAUGUGAAGGUUGGUUGCCCCACCCUUAUGCAAGUGAACUCUCCCCUAGGCCUGCGCCAUCUUGUCUGCUCCUUCUUGAACACGUGGCUGACAGAGAAGGGAAGAUGGAGAGGCCAUCUUGAACAUAUCUAGUCCCUAGUUACUGCAGGGACUCAGCCAUGCAAGCUCCCAGCUUGCUUGCCCAUGUCUGCAGCUCGACUUUCCACACUGCUCUUUGUUAGAAAAUGAUUUGAAGCUGCUUUUCAUUAAAAAGUAAAAGCCUUACCAAGGACUCCCACACCCUCACUAUCUGCCUAAGUGAUUUCCUCUCAACUCCUACAUCGUUCCCAAAAAUGUCUUUUCAAUCAAGCUAGUAUAUGUACCAUCAAUCAAUAAUUGGAGGUUGACCACCUGGGAAAAGCUGGGGCUUGCACUGAAAAUUGGGGCCUGAUUCAUAUGCAGCAGAUGGGAUAGAGAAGCUGAAGUUCAUGUGUAGGAGGGGUUUGUCUGUGAAGGAGCCUAUAUGUCCUUCUCAGAAAGAAAGUGGGACCUCACAGAACUUUUUCACCAAAGUUGUUCUUUGCCUGUUCUACCUACUGAACAGAACCAUCAGUGAAGACUCCAUAGAACACGAAUAUGAUUAUGGCCUAGGAAAUUUUGAGUAGUUAUUUUCAUGUGUCAGACACCACAGGAAAAUCUCAAUGAUGCUUCUACUGGGAAUCUAAUUUUGAAGGACACCAUGUCACUUCCCGCUGGAAUGAACUCAUGGCCGACCAUGAGCAUCUCCAAGCCUGCAAUUUGGAGCUAGUGAACAUAGACCCAUAGAAUUUGAAAGACAGCUGUGAAAAUGCUGCCUUGGCUUUAGAACUGCUGGUUUUGAUAUUUUUUUAAGGCACAUGUUAGGGUGCAGGUUCUUCUACUUAAUGACAACAAGAAUAUAUUUUCAACAUGCAAACAACCAGCUUUCUGUAGCAGGGACAUCAAGAUAACAUUCCUGAUGUUAAGAUAUUUAUUAUGAAAGAAGAGCAGGAUCCCAGCCCUGCUUUCUUCAUCUCAGGUGUAAUGGGGCCCGUCAGCUGCUUUGUAGCCCCCAUUCCAGGAUGCAGGCUGCCCUUAACUCCUGGGUCUCCGUGAUUACAGAAGCAGCAAUAACUAGGUGCCUCUUAUAAAACUGUUUCUUUUAACCUGGACACAGAGACAAAGGGCAAGAAAGGAUCGAUUAAAGCUACACAAAGUGUUUCUUUAGUUGUAACCAACUUUUCAGUAAGACGUUAGGAAACUUGGUGCCCAUGAAAUACGGUGGGGCUCUCUCUCAGCAUACUGGGAAGCCUUGGAGGGCUUCAAAUGGGAAAACAGUAGGACUUUUGGUUUUGAAAAAGUGUUCUUGCUGCUAGGUGAAGAAUGAAUAUGAUAGGGGCAAGGUCUCUAACACUACGUAGGAGUGGCUUUCAGGUCCCAGAAUGAGAAGUAUCUAGGGCUUUUAUAAAAUUUGAGGCUGCUUUAUUAAGACAGAGCUGGAAGAAAUGUUGCAGGGGUAAAAGAAUGUAUCAGAGUAAUAGUAUUCACAAGUUUUUUUUUCUUUUCUUUUUCUUUUUAUUUUU